UGAUAAGCUCCUCUUUCAUCAGAGUUGCAACUGUGAACCGAGAACGACCGCUUCUGUCAAGUUAUUAGUGUUGAAACUCCGGUUGUUUUUUUUUAAGCUACCAGAAAGAAUCUGGAGGAUCCAAUGAUGGCGAGCCCAGCCCAGAGUGACUGUGGAAGGUUGGGGACACGAGUUGCAACUGUGAACCCGAGAACGACCGCUUCUGUCAAGUUAUUAGUGUUGAAACUCCGCUAUUUCAAUCAACUUAUGGGAGCUUGUCAGCACGAGCACACUUCCACUCGUGACUUCAGCCAUAUUUCACAGCAAAGCAUUACAUGAGGGGAUUUACACUUAUGGUGGUAAUUAUGAUGCUGUUGCCUCUCUUAGUCUCAGCUGCUGUGGUCUGCAGUCUGCUGAUCUGGAGAAAGUGUGGAGGAGUUUGGGAGCCUCGCCUGAUCUCACUUG
Dicentrarchus labrax (European seabass) is the source of this 444-nucleotide long non-coding RNA. RefSeq lists it as uncharacterized. The record is from RefSeq and is a predicted model, not a curated record. The transcript has 4 exons. NCBI's taxonomy places the organism in Eukaryota, Metazoa, Chordata, Actinopteri, Moronidae.